RNAcentral lists this transfer RNA (32 nucleotides) under Eospalax rothschildi (Rothschild's zokor). RNAcentral describes it as "partial tRNA-Thr". The record is from RNAcentral. Lineage: Eukaryota; Metazoa; Chordata; Mammalia; Rodentia; Spalacidae.
AAAUGCUUAGGUAGUAUACUUAUUACUUUGGU